RNAcentral lists this ribosomal RNA (460 nucleotides) under uncultured bacterium. RNAcentral describes it as "partial 16S ribosomal RNA". It matches the Rfam family "Bacterial small subunit ribosomal RNA", at positions 338 to 795 of the family's 1533-position model. The record is from RNAcentral.
CCUACGGGAGGCAGCAGUGAGGAAUAUUGGUCAAUGGGCGCGAGCCUGAACCAGCCAAGUAGCGUGCAGGAUGACUGCCCUACGGGUUGUAAACUUCUUUUAUGAGGGAAUAAAGUGAGUCACGUGUGCCUUUUUGUAUGUACUUUAUGAAUAAGGACCGGCUAACUCCGUGCCAGCAGCCGCGGUAAUACGGAGGAUCCGAGCGUUAUCCGGAUUUAUUGGGUUUAAAGGGAGCGUAGGUGGGUUGUUAAGUCAGUUGUGAAAGGUUGCGGCUCAACCGUAGCAUUGCAAUUGAUACUGGCAGGCUUGAGUGCAGGUGAGGUAGGCGGAAUUCGUGGUGUAGCGGUGAAAUGCUUAGAUAUCACGAAGAACUCCGAUUGCGAAGGCAGCUUACUAAACUGCCACUGACGUUGAGGCUCGAAAGUGUGGGUAUCAAACAGGAUUAGAUACCCCGGUAGUC